UACGUAGGGGGCAAGCGUUGUCCGGAAUUAUUGGGCGUAAAGAGCGUGUAGGCGGUCCGGUAAGUCCGCUGUGAAAGUCCAGGGCUCAACCCCUGGAAUGCCGGUGGAUACUGCCGGGCUAGAGUCCGGAAGAGGCGAGUGGAAUUCCUGGUGUAGCGGUGAAAUGCGCAGAUAUCAGGAGGAACACCGAUGGCGAAGGCAGCUCGCUGGGACGGUACUGACGCUGAGACGCGAAAGCGUGGGGAGCAAAACAGG
Molecule: ribosomal RNA, 255 nt
Filed under: uncultured bacterium
Lineage: Bacteria
Description: partial 16S ribosomal RNA
Rfam family: Bacterial small subunit ribosomal RNA
Source: RNAcentral